Molecule: long non-coding RNA, 650 nt
Organism: Aethalodelphis obliquidens (Pacific white-sided dolphin)
Lineage: Eukaryota; Metazoa; Chordata; Mammalia; Artiodactyla; Delphinidae
Exons: 2
Source: RefSeq, a predicted model, not a curated record
CUUCAGCACCUGGCUACACAGCAGCCUCAGCUUCACGGAGGACUGGAGGGGAAGGCCUUACAUCAGCCAGACUGACCCACCUCACCCCUCCAUGCUGGUGGGCUGGCUCAGAGAAGGCUGGCCACAUACCUGACCAGUCACACAGCAUGUUCGGACAGCCCGAAAGCGCUGAGGCCCCAGCCCAAGAGUGACCUCCCCACCCUCCACCCUCAGAGCCCCCACCCCCAAGACCCCAUGCACUCAACGAUUUUGGCCAGCGUGCUGAUCUCUGCCAGGACCCAGUCAGGACAGUCCAGGUCACCACAGAACCGGAACCUCUGCAAGGGAGUAAGCUCCAGCCAUACUGGCCUCCCUGCUGCUCCUGUUGCAGAUUAAACGUGGCUUGCUCUCUCACUUCACUCAGGUCUCUGCUCAAAUGACACCUCUUCUGAUGGACUUUCUCUGACUUUGCUUUCUUAAAUAGCCCCUUACACAAGGAAAUUUUUGGGGUCAGUGGAUGUAUUCAUUAUCUUGAUCAUGGUAAUGUUUUCAUGAGCAUAUAUGCAUCGAAACUUAUUGAACCAUAUAUUUGCACACACAUGGUUUGUUUUAUGUCGAUAUUAUCUCAAGGAAGCUGUUAAAAAAAAAUAAAACAGCUCUUCACCAUCAUG